Molecule: ribosomal RNA, 484 nt
Filed under: uncultured bacterium
Lineage: Bacteria
Description: partial 16S ribosomal RNA
Rfam family: Bacterial small subunit ribosomal RNA
Source: RNAcentral
AUUGAACGCUGGCGGCAUGCUUUACACAUGCAAGUCGAACGGCAGCGCGGUCUUCGGCCUGGCUGCGAGUUGCGAACGGGUGAGUAAUGCAUCGGAACGUGCCCAUUUGUUGUUGAUAGCCCGGCGAAAGCCGGAUUCAUACCGCAUACGACCUUAGGAUGAAAGCGGGGAACCAAGAGACCUCGCGCUAUUGGAGCGUCCGAUGUCGGAUUAGCUAGUUGGUGGGGUAAAGGCGUACCAAGGCGACGAUCCGUAGCUGGUCUGAGAGGACGACCAGCCACACUGGAACUGAGACACGGCCCAGACUCCUACGGGAGGCAGCAGUGGGGAAUUUUGGACAAUGGGGGCAACCCUGAUCCAGCCAUGCCGCGUGCGGGAAGAAGGCCUUCGGGUUGUAAACCGCUUUUGUUCGGGAAGAAAUGCUCUGGGCUAAUACCCCGGGGGGAUGACGGUACCGGAAGAAUAAGCACCGGCUAACUACGUG